This 665-nucleotide ribosomal RNA is filed under the name uncultured cyanobacterium. RNAcentral describes it as "bacterial SSU rRNA". It matches the Rfam family "Bacterial small subunit ribosomal RNA", at positions 99 to 795 of the family's 1533-position model. The record is from RNAcentral. Lineage: Bacteria; Bacillati; Cyanobacteriota.
CGGACGGGUGAGUAACGCGUGAGAAUCUAGCUUCAGGUUGGGGACAACCACUGGAAACAGUGGCUAAUACCGAAUAAGCCGUAAUAGGUGAAAGAUUAAUUGCCUGGAGAUGAGCUCGCGUCUGAUUAGCUAGUUGGUAGGGUAAGAGCCUACCAAGGCGUCGAUCAGUAGCUGGUCUGAGAGGACGAUCAGCCACACUGGGACUGAGACACGGCCCAGACUCCUACGGGAGGCAGCAGUGGGGAAUUUUCCGCAAUGGGCGAAAGCCUGACGGAGCAAUACCGCGUGAGGGAGGAAGGCUCUUGGGUCGUAAACCUCUUUUCUCAGGGAAGAACAAAAUGACGGUACCUGAGGAAUAAGCAUCGGCUAACUCCGUGCCAGCAGCCGCGGUAAUACGGAGGAUGCAAGCGUUAUCCGGAAUGAUUGGGCGUAAAGCGUCCGCAGGUGGCAAUGUAAGUCUGCUGUCAAAGGUCAGGGCUUAACUCUGAACAGGCAGUGGAAACUACACAGCUAGAGUGCGGUGGGGGCAGAGGGAAUUCCCAGUGUAGCGGUGAAAUGCGUAGAGAUUGGGAAGAACACCGGUGGCGAAAGCGCUCUGCUAGGCCGUAACUGACACUCAUGGACGAAAGCUAGGGGAGCGAAUGGGAUUAGAUACCCCAGUAGUC